Triplophysa dalaica is the source of this 946-nucleotide long non-coding RNA. RefSeq lists it as uncharacterized. The record is from RefSeq and is a predicted model, not a curated record. Lineage: Eukaryota; Metazoa; Chordata; Actinopteri; Cypriniformes; Nemacheilidae. The transcript has 3 exons.
AAUGAAGACAACAAUCCUAAAUGGAUAGAGAAGUGCUUGAAUAUUGGGACUGCAGGAUGUGAAGGCACUGUACUGAGCAUAGGAAAAUUAUUAAGCCGGCACAGUGCCAUUAAAGUACCUUCUUUUAAGGUACAAGCAUUGCAAUAACUCAUCACAUUCGCUCUGUAUUUAAAGGGACAGCUCAUCAAAAAAUUAGCACUGUUUUAUCAUUCAACCUUUAUGUUGUUGAAAUUUGUUUCAACUAUUACAUUGUUCAGACCAGAAAUUGUUGUAAUAAUACUUUUGAUUUGUGUAUUUAAAGGGGACAUUUCAUGAAAAACAGACUUUUCCAUGUUUAAAUGCUAAAAUCUGGUCUCUUGUGCAUCUGUCAACUCAGAAAACGUGAAAAAAGACAAAUCAUUAACUUUUUUUAUGUGAGCCUAUCUCUGCAAGCCUUUGAGAAAACGAGCGCUUCAGAAAUCGCGCUCUUACUGACGUAAGUAGUCGUUCUUAUUAUAAUAUUUCCGCCCAUUGUUCCACCCAUCGCGCCGCCGCCAUUGUUGUUUUCUCAUGUGUGAAGUUUCAACACCAUGGCGAAAGUAGCAACGCUUACAAACUGUUGUGUUGUUGGCUGCACAGAACAAUGUUCCCAGACUCACGGGAGAGAAGAGAGCGAUGGAUUUAUUUAGUUUUCAGUGGAAAUCACCCACACUGAGCGAGGCAAAGCUACAAAUAAAGACAUUGACCAGAGCAGAAAACAGCCAUCGCGAAUGAUGGAGAAGACAAGGACAGUGAAGAUGCCCUGGUUAAACGCAGACAUUGCAGACCUCUGGUGUUAGAUAGUGAUGAGGAAGAAGAUGAAGAGAAUUCUCAGAAAGUGGAAGACCCAAAAUCUGAGGAUGUUCAGAUGUCUGAUCAGGAGAGGAAAGCUGAUGAAUUAAAUGAAGAUAAGGAAACUAUCAGGGAA